RNAcentral lists this ribosomal RNA (465 nucleotides) under Vreelandella stevensii. RNAcentral's name for it is "partial 16S ribosomal RNA". It matches the Rfam family "Bacterial small subunit ribosomal RNA", at positions 338 to 795 of the family's 1533-position model. Lineage: Bacteria; Pseudomonadati; Pseudomonadota; Gammaproteobacteria; Oceanospirillales; Halomonadaceae. The record is from RNAcentral.
CCUACGGGGGGCAGCAGUGGGGAAUAUUGGACAAUGGGGGGAACCCUGAUCCAGCCAUGCCGCGUGUGUGAAGAAGGCCCUCGGGUUGUAAAGCACUUUCAGUGAGGAAGAACGCCUGGUGGUUAAUACCCAUCAGGAAAGACAUCACUCACAGAAGAAGCACCGGCUAUCUCCGUGCCAGCAGCCGCGGUAAUACGGAGGGUGCGAGCGUUAAUCGGAAUUACUGGGCGUAAAGCGCGCGUAGGUGGCUUGAUAAGCCGGUUGUGAAAGCCCCGGGCUCAACCUGGGAACGGCAUCCGGAACUGUCAAGCUAGAGUGCAGGAGAGGAAGGUAGAAUUCCCGGUGUAGCGGUGAAAUGCGUAGAGAUCGGGAGGAAUACCAGUGGCGAAGGCGGCCUUCUGGACUGACACUGACACUGAGGUGCGAAAGCGUGGGUAGCAAACAGGAUUAGAUACCCUUGUAGUC